GCGCCCUUAGCUCAAUGGAUAGAGCACCAGUCUUCUAAACUGUAGGUUGGCGGUUCGAGUCCGCCAGGGCGCA
Coriobacteriaceae bacterium BV3Ac1 is the source of this 73-nucleotide non-coding RNA. The record is from Rfam. NCBI's taxonomy places the organism in Bacteria, Bacillati, Actinomycetota, Coriobacteriia, Coriobacteriales, Coriobacteriaceae.